CAGCCUUCGCAAGUUUCGCUGUCUUGUGUGUUUCGCUCUUCUCUAAACCCUCCCUCUCGCUUGUAGUGGCGGCGAAGAUAAAAGGCGACAGCUUCAGUAGGCCAUCAACAGAGACACAUACGCCAUCACCCCCCACCCCACCCUGUCCGUCUCUCACCAGCAGCCCAGGCUCACGUUUACUUUGGGGCGUGAAGCGCGCAGCUAGCACACGUGCGCGGACCACCUUGUAUUCUCGCGCUGCUCCUCCUCCCCUCCCUUCAGGGUCUGUAACGCACUUCAUUCGACGGACGCAGAUCCGUCGUGGAUCCGCGUCGGUGCACCUGUGCGUGCGCUCCGGACUCGUGCAAUGGAUGCCGCUGAGGGCGGCGGCACGCACGUCAUUCAACUCGUGAGUGACGACUACUUCCCCUCUGAAAUCGAUGAGAGAGAGCCCCAGCAGCAGCUCAGCGGUAGUAGUUCUCGUGAUGGCGGCGCAUCGGCGCAACUGGGUAUGACCGCGGCCAGCUGGCGGAAGCUCGAGGCGUACAUCUACUCCGACGCCGCGGUAUUGGAUCUGCGGUCGCACGCGUGGAUUUCCAUUCCCAGCGCAGAAGCGCGGAGGCGCCGCUGGCGCCUCGUGAACUGCAUGCACGAACAGAACCCACCCAUCUCUAUCACCAUCACGGAUCUUUCUUCGUCGGUGAAGCCGGGUAAAGCACCUUUCCCCGCGGCGUCUCAGGAGGCCACGGCCGACCACCAGACGGCAAAGGCGCCGCCACACGUCGCCGCGGCUCCGCCUCCUUCGGUUUCCUCCACCCCCUUGCCGUCUUCAUCACCCACUGCCAGCACGAGCAUACUCGCUACGAACGCCUCGCAACACGGCGCUGCUUCCCCGCACGUGGUACGCGAGAGCGAAAGCAUCACGGAGGGCGGGAUUUCGCGGGACGUGUGUAUGCUUAGGGAUGGAACAGUAAAGGCGAAAGAUUGGCAUCCGCCGAUGAUUGUGCCAGACUCAGCAGGCGCUCGAAACACAACGGAGUGGCGGCUGUCCGACGCGCCGUACUUAGCUCGUGGCUUCACAAGUGACGUGUUUCCGCUCGAGUGUCGCCAACUGCUCGAGGACUUUCCCAUGGGUUCGCGGGCGGAGAACUGGAGCAUGUUUGUUGUGGCGGCCACACUCAGUUUUUAUCAACGGCAAGCGCACAUGUGGGCGGCCUCGUGGUGGACGUGGAGUGCCGAGCUGGCUGGAAGCGGCGGCAGCUUGUCCAGUCGGUGGCUGGCUGCGCCAAGUACAGCUGCUCCCGCGAAUGGGAGCGGUUUGGGCAUGGCAGGGAGCGUCAGCAGCGCUGCUGUAGACAGUACCGCUGCCGACGCCGCUGCUUCAGCGGUGCUUGCACCACUAGUAUGCGUGGUGUAUGCGGUGCGCAUUCUGCUCCUCUGCGUACUGUACGCUCUACAGGGCUUGCUACGCGCUGGGCGCCUUGCGUGCGCCAGGCUUUUACGGUUAGAGGCGUCGUCCACUCUUCCAGCGAAGGACUCCAUCAUGUGGACCCUUGCCACGAACAAGCUGUGGCGACUGCAGGUGGAGUUGAUGCUCGCCAGCACCGCCUUCAUCCUGCUUGUUGUGUACGUGCUGGUGCUCAUGCGCUACCGCAAGUACACGCAGACGUUGGAGUCGUGGGAGACUGCGAUGGCGCGCCACACUGCGGGAGAGGCGGCGAAGUGGGCGGCGCAAAUGAAUGUCCGGCAGCGAGGAGUGCGCACCCCAACGCCCGCGGCCGUCUACGCAGGAGAGUCCCUCCACGACAGCGCGAGCAGCGGCAGCGGUGGCAGUACCUUCCAGGCUCCUAUGAAGGCGUCCUCGACGCCUCUGAGUGGCCAAGGGAGCUUUCAAGAGGAAUCGCUGGAGAAGACUCUGCGAGGGGCGUCGGACAGCGCCGCCGAACGCCAGGACCAGUCUUUUUGGUACGUUGACGUGAAGAGUGAGGCUACCGAGGCCGCCGCCUCCUCUGUCUCCUUCCCGCGCCGCCGGCCCGAAAGCAGCGAUAGUGGCACAGACGACACCCUGAUAACUCAAUCGUCUGGCGAGAUGCCUCAGGGCCCUUUCCGCGGUCGUGGCGCUGCUGCUGCCGGCGGCGUGGACGUAGCCGCGGGCAGCACCGCUAUGCCGUCAAGCCUACCGGCUAGCGUUGCCUCGCUCACCGGGAGCCUUUCGUUGCCGCUGGUGAUUAGCGAGCCGCUGCAUGGGAGUGGUCGUGGGCUGUGCAGCAGCAACGGCAGCGGCGCCGUUCACGCCCAGCGGGCCAGGUCGCCGUGGCUGUCAGCAGUGUUGGAGUCUUCGAAUGCGUCCGACGGACCGGGCGACCGAACGCUACCGUGGAGGCACGCCACGCCACUGCAAGCCUCUGAAGGCGCAUCGAGCGGCUCCGCAACGCCGCGGAGAGUGGAAGCAGCGCCGCGAAACCGAAAGUUCAGUCGAACAGCAGCGCGGGCCCAGCCUGUGCCCUGUGUCUACUCUGCCUCCACGUCUGUGGAUCAGGGCGCAAGCGCGGAUGACGGCCACGUCAUCGUUACGAGGGCUUUGCCUGCAUUUUUCAUGGAUACGUCACCGGCGUUUGUAGCUGCCGUCACAGGGGAUGCUGUUUGUCUCGAGACCAGCGUAGAGCAAGGCGCCCGCGCGAGCGGUAAUGCUGGUAUGAAUCAGGACAGGAAGGGGGAGGACGGCGUGGAGGCGAGGCGGCAAUCGCCGCAGCCCGCGUGCACUCCCAAUGGCAAGGCACUGCACUUGCUCCCGCCUCGCCCAACUGCCGCCCGUGAGGAUGAGACAGGCAGCGCAACUCGAACCUUUCACGAAGGUGCUCUGGCGGCGUUGGCGUCGAUAGAAACGAUGAUGAACUCGGAAGAUAGUUAUCUGCUCCUCUCACCUUAGGGGGGGGGAAGGCAUUGUGGUGCGCUGGCAUGCGAAUGCCCGCCGCCGUGGAUGCGGCGCGCCGACCCCACGCGACGCCACUGAGCCGCGUGUUCAUGUCUCUCCCCGCUCUGCGCGUAGCCGCACACCCGUUCCCCCGCCUGGCCAGCCCGCCCCCCUUAGGCAAAAGCCCACACUUGAAACGUUCGCGUUUGGCUGCUGCACGCUUGGAAAUAUGUACAUAUAUAUAUUUCAACAUGUCUGCUCGCUGCCACGGAACGUUAGUCGAACUUCAUUCUACCUCGGAUGUGUCACAGGUGCCCCAACCGCGCGGUGCGAAGCAUGUCGUAGGCACGCGCGUUACAGCAAUGCGCCGGCUCAGUCAUGCGAGAGGACGGCCCCUGACUCCAACUCGACUGGCCCACCUACCCCCUGCCUCGCAGGCCUUUCUGACGCGACGCCAUCCUGCGAUUCAACGCCGACAUCAUCAGCGAUGCAUCGCUCUCACCUUCCUUGCGUAGUGGGUGCUUGGCCCUGUCAGCACCAGAAGUGGUCUGGCAUGUGGCAGAGGUGGGGGGCUGCUUGGCCUCCGCUCACAUGCAGAGAGUGGGUGAGCCGGGCCGCGUGAUUGGAUGCACUGGGCGAUGCCCUCGCGCCGUCAUGACCACCUCGAAAACGUUUAUGUGAGCACAAUAACCUUUUUGUUGUUUGUGUGGUGAGAUCGUGCGACCCUCUUGUCGUUUUCGCCCGUUGUGCAUGGGUGACCGACCUCUCUGCCUCUGCCUCUGUGUGCGUUAGGGACGUUGGGGAGUGUCAGGUCUAUCGGUGCCAGCGUGCAUCUCUGUCCGCCUGUGCGCCUUCAAUUUCUUGGGCGUUUUUUUUUUCGCUCACACACGCACAGUGCGAUUUACGAGUACCUCUAUGUGUAUUCCUUUACCGACUCCCUCUCCAUGCCCACGUCACACAUGUGAGCGUCAUCCCCCCCCCCCCCCACCUGCACCCCCACCCUUACAGCCUACCAAGACCUCCCAUGGCGGCCUUGCUUUCGCGGUCGCUCUCCCCACUGGGUGUGGGCAGGUGUGUUGUUUGUUCAUCGCGUGUUCAUCUUGUGUGCGUACGUGCCAUCACCACCGCCUCUUCAGAUCACAACCAAAAAA
RNAcentral lists this unclassified non-coding RNA (4044 nucleotides) under Leishmania donovani. RNAcentral describes it as "gene:LdHU3.20.0780(CDS-product:hypothetical_prote in_conserved)". The record is from RNAcentral. Lineage: Eukaryota; Euglenozoa; Kinetoplastea; Trypanosomatida; Trypanosomatidae.